AUUGAACGCUGGCGGCAUGCCUAACACAUGCAAGUCGAGCGAGCGGCGGACGGGUGAGUAAUGUCUGGGAAACUGCCUGAUGGAGGGGGAUAACUACUGGAAACGGUAGCUAAUACCGCAUACCAUCAGAUGUGCCCUUGUGGGAGUAGCUAGUAGGUGGGGUAACGGCUCACCUAGGCGACGAUCCCUAGCUGGUCUGAGAGGAAGACCGGCCACACUGGAACUGAGACACGGCCCAGACUCCUACGGGAGGCAGCAGUGGGGAAUAUUGCACAAUGGGCGAAAGCCUGAUGCAGCAACGCCGCGUGUGUGAAGAAGGCCUUCGGGUUGUAAAGUACUUUCAGCGGGGAGGCGUUACCCGCAGAAGAAGCACCGGCUAACUCCGUGCCAGCAGCCGCGGUAAUAC
RNAcentral lists this ribosomal RNA (406 nucleotides) under uncultured bacterium. RNAcentral describes it as "partial 16S ribosomal RNA". It matches the Rfam family "Bacterial small subunit ribosomal RNA", at positions 30 to 526 of the family's 1533-position model. The record is from RNAcentral.